CUCUCUAUGGUAAUAAUUUUAUUUUUUCCCCUCGAUUCGUCCAGUCACCUUUCAAGAUACAUUUUGACUUGUUUAUUUCCGUAAGGUUAAUAUGAGAGAAAAAAAAAAUUCUUACCCUUCUAUGGUAAGGAAGAGAGGGGGUGAGUGAACGAGGGAGAAAAUUCGUGGAAACAUUUAUAAUAUUUAUCUUGGUGAAUUACGAGCGGCAGGUUCGGAGAACGGAAGUCUAUCCUUACAGGAUGUCCAAAUUUAGUGACUCGUUUACGUUGGAACGCGUACUAUGCCCCGAGUAAUCGAGAUUUGUUUUCGCUCGCGAUACAGCUGCGAAAACAAUUUUCCUUCGCCGUAAAAUAUUCACCGUUCACCUUCUACUCGGUCUAGGCCGAGUAUACUUUUUAUUUUUGUAAUCCAAGAAAAUUGUCGAACACGGAGAAAUUUCGCUUAAUCGAAAGGUAUAAUAAAAAUGGAAAAUUUAUAUGCACGUUCGUUUAAUUGGCCAUAAAGAUAGCAAUAGUAGAUGGAUCGUUUACUUUUGGAAUUUCCUGUAUAUACAUACGUAACACCUUGCGCUGUAGGUUAAUAAAAAUUAACGUUUAACUCACGAAAAUAUUAAAUGUAGAAAAUUAAAUAUAUUUAAAUUCUAGAAACUUUCUUAUUAAACGGAUUAUUUCCGUAAGUAUCGAUCGAUUAUAUUACACCGCCACAAAAUUGAAAUACAAUCUUCCAAAGUUCUAGUUAAUGAAGUAAAGCACGUACAGACCUGGAACGUUGAUUCUUCGAUACAAUCUCUUAACAUUUCUCCGGCAAUUGACGUGUCAAAUAAGGCUAACAACCCUUUCGAAAUCGAUCGUAGGUUUAAACCGCUUAAACACGUUUGAAGUUCGCUCUAAUCGCGCGAUCGAUAUGCGACAUGCUCCUAUGUUAACUCGGUUGCCAUUAGCGAGUCUCGUAUUUCAAUGAAUUCACGCCGAGGAAUCGAAAGGUGACGUUAAAUGCGCCGUUAAAUAUCGUACUUUUACUCAUUAUCCUUCCCAUUUCUUUUAACAUAUAUACUUUUAUAUACAUAUACGCAUAAGAUUCACAAUUUAUUUUGAUCGUUUUAUCGUAUAUAUAUAUACAUAUAUUUAUUGGCAUCGAUGUUUUCUUCUUGACCGACAUCACUUUCCUUACAAUUUUGAUUAGCGAUUAGAAUUCCUAUGAAAUUCGUAUGAAAGAUAUCUAAUUAAUAUAUUUUGACAAUAUAUCUAAUCAAUAUUUUGAAAAUUUUUGAAAGUAAAUUAAAAAUCAUAAAUUCUUCUCCAUACGAAUUUCAUAAGAAUUCUAAUCGCUCUCUCUAGAGUUGAAAAGGAAGUGACGUCGGUCAAGAAGAAAAUAUCGAUGCCAACCGCGGAGAGGUUUGAUAAAUAGGAGUCGAAUCGAAGGCAGCGGAUCGCGCAUUCCAAGAUGGCAUUGUCCUCCCCGUGCACGAAGAAAUGCAUAACGAUGAGCUGCGCGAAGGCUCGCGCGAGAUUUCCAUAUGGCAUACAAAGUCGCUAACGGGAUCUAAUACCGUCGAAAAACAAAGGAUGGAAAAAGAGAGAGAGAGGUACGUGUAGUGGGAUACGCGUACACGUGUGUUCCUUUGGUUAUUAACGUUCCAACAACGGUUCGCCAUAUGCGUGCUCAUGAGAACCGAGGGGAGCUUGCUCGAAUGGCAAAAAGUUAUUUUCAGCGCGGAACAGCGGGCUUCUUACGAACUAAACGGCUGAGACUGAUUUCGGCGGACGGCGAUCUUUCUCUCUUUUGGAUAUAAGCUGGACGUGAUGUACCGUUCCUAUACGUCUUGCCUAAUGCAGUCAUCGUUAUAUACGGUGAUCGCAUGCAAUUUUUCAUCGGGCUCGUGCCAGGUAUGUUUAACAAGCGUGGUUGGGAGCGAAGCUUCUUCCGUGAUGCGAGUUAAUUUUUAUCGAAGAUGAAGAGGCUUGUGUUGAAAUCGAUCCCAUCGAGCCCCGUGGUCACCCCUUGCGAAAGGACCCCCCUCCCCCCUCGUCUUGCCUUGACCCCCUUUCUCAAGUAACAACACCCACUCCCUUAUUUUUACACGUGGAAUUUUUAAACUUUUCCUCUCAUUUAAAUUGGUAAUUCUUGGGAUCCUACCGAUCCUUAUUAUCCAAUUUAGCAUUUUUAUUUUUCCUGUGAAACAGGGCCGGAGAUCCGACCCUCGGAUGGAAAGAUUUGUGUUCAGGCGAGAAAGUUUUACACGCGAAAAGUUUUAUUACGCACAAUUGGAAGGGAAUAUUCUCUCGACGGAUAAAUAAAUUAUAUUUAAUUAUAAUUGUGGAAAUAAAAAAAUUUAUCUGAAUAUUA
Molecule: long non-coding RNA, 2346 nt
Filed under: Apis mellifera (honey bee)
Lineage: Eukaryota; Metazoa; Arthropoda; Insecta; Hymenoptera; Apidae
Description: uncharacterized LOC113218676
Source: RNAcentral